RNAcentral lists this long non-coding RNA (968 nucleotides) under Microcebus murinus (gray mouse lemur). RNAcentral's name for it is "lncRNA (ENSMICG00000048457.1)". Lineage: Eukaryota; Metazoa; Chordata; Mammalia; Primates; Cheirogaleidae. The record is from RNAcentral.
GUUUAUUAAGCUCUUACUCUGUGCCAGGUACUUUUACAGACAUUCUCCCAUUUAAUCCUCACAAUAAAAAAAGGGAAGCAUUAUCCUUGUCCUUGUCUUUCAGAACAAGAAGCCAACAUCCAGAGAAGUUAAGCCAUUUCCUCAAAUCACAUUGUUUGUAAGUGUGAAACCAAGAUUUUGAACUCAGUCUGUUGAGUGAUUACCUGGCUUCUAUUAAAUUCUGGAAUGAAAACUCAGCUCCCAUCCUAAGACAAGGCAAUGCCCGGUGGCCCAUCUUGUGGUAGACAUGAUUUUCUGCUCUCAUUGGUCAACCUGAAAGUCAAUCAGCUUAAACAACUGGACCGACUCGGCUUCCUGCCUUCUAACGGAAAGUCAUUUCAAUUCAAUUCAAUAAAUACUGUGGACCUACUAUGUGCAGAGCACAGGAGUGGAAGACAUAUAAAUGACUAUGAUAUUGGUCUUUGUUUCAUGAUGCUACUAACAGAGUAGUGGGAAAAUACAAUUAAAAUUGUGUUUAUCCAAUGAGUGAGAUGUGCAACAUUUGGGGGAUGGUCACGCUUGAAGCUCUGACUCGACGGGGGGGGGGGCAAAGGCAAUAUACGUAAGUAACCUUAACAUUUGUACCCCCAUAAUAUGCUGAAAUAAAAAUAAAAAAAUAAAUAAAUAAAAUAACAUUGUGUUUAUCAUUAGGAUAAUAAUAGUUACCACAUAGUAAUGUCUACCAUGUUCUUCUAGAAAAAUUGGUAAGAUCAUGAUCACAGGAGGCAAUGAACCUUGAUUCAAAAUCCAGAUCCACCAUUUGACUCACUGUGUGACUUUGAGAGAAUUCCUCAACCUCUCUGAAUCUCAGUUGCUCAUCUGUGAAUCUGAAAUAAUCAAAGUGUUCACAGGGUUAUUGUGUGGAUUAAAUGGGUUAAUACACAUAAAGAACUUAGAAAAGGGCAUUAUCCUAAGUGAAGUAUCCCAAG